Molecule: ribosomal RNA, 214 nt
Filed under: uncultured bacterium
Lineage: Bacteria
Description: partial 16S ribosomal RNA
Rfam family: Bacterial small subunit ribosomal RNA
Source: RNAcentral
UACGAAGGGGGCUAGCGUUGCUCGGAAUCACUGGGCGUAAAGCGCACGUAGGCGGAUUGCUAAGUCAGGGGUGAAAUCCUGGAGCUCAACUCCAGAACUGCCUUUGAUACUGGCGAUCUCGAGUCCGGGAGAGGUGAGUGGAAUUCCUAGUGUAGAGGUGAAAUUCGUAGAUAUUAGGAAGAACACCAGUGGCGAAGGCGGACUCACUGGUCCG